AACGCACAUUGCGCCCGUCAGUAUUCUGGCGGGCAUGCCUGUUCGAGCGUCAUUUCAACCAUCAGGCCCUGUCCAGCCUGUGUUGGAGCCCUGCGGCUGCCGCAGCCCCCUAAAUGUAGUGGCGGGCUCGCUGUUACCCCGAGCGCAGUAGCGUAUCUCGCUCUGGGCGUGGCGGCGGGUGCUAGCCGUGAAACACUCACUAAGGUUGACCUCGGAUCAGGUAGGAAUACCCGCUGAACUUAA
This 243-nucleotide unclassified non-coding RNA is filed under the name uncultured Sordariales. RNAcentral describes it as "sequence contains 5.8S rRNA gene, ITS2, 28S rRNA gene". Lineage: Eukaryota; Fungi; Ascomycota; Sordariomycetes; Sordariales. The record is from RNAcentral.